AGUGAACGCUGGCGGUAGGCCUAACACAUGCAAGUCGAACGGCAGCACAGUAAGAUCUUGCUCUUACGGGUGGCGAGUGGCGUACGGGUGAGGUAUACAUCGGAAUCUACUUUUUCGUGUGGGAUAACGUAGGUAAACUUACGCUAAUACCGCAUACGACCUACGGGUGAAAUCAUUGGAUCUUCGGACCUUUCGCGUUUGUAUGAGCCUAUGUCGGAUUAGCUAGUUGGCGGGGUAAAGGCCCACCAAGGCGACGAUCCGUAGCUGGUCUGAGAGGAUGAUCAGAAAAACGGGAAGUGAGAAAAGGUAAAGAGAACGACGGGAGGAAGCAGAGGGGAAUAUUGGAAAAUGGGGGAAAGCAUGAUACAGCAAAACCGAGUGGGAGAAGAAGGACUGAGGGGUGUAAAGAAAUUUUGUUGGGAAAGAAAAGAAGGAGGUUAAAAACAAGAUGUUAUGACGGUAACAAAAGAAUAAGCAACGGCUAACUUCGUG
This 492-nucleotide ribosomal RNA is filed under the name uncultured bacterium. RNAcentral's name for it is "partial 16S ribosomal RNA". It matches the Rfam family "Bacterial small subunit ribosomal RNA", at positions 29 to 507 of the family's 1533-position model. The record is from RNAcentral.